This 749-nucleotide ribosomal RNA is filed under the name uncultured Bacilli bacterium. RNAcentral describes it as "bacterial SSU rRNA". It matches the Rfam family "Bacterial small subunit ribosomal RNA", at positions 36 to 756 of the family's 1533-position model. The record is from RNAcentral. Lineage: Bacteria; Bacillati; Bacillota; Bacilli.
CUGGCGGCGUGCCUAAUACAUGCAAGUCGAACGCUUCUUUCCUCCCGAGCGCUUGCACUCAAUUGGAAAGAGGAGUGGCGGACGGGUGAGUAACACGUGGGUAACCUACCCAUCAGAGGGGGAUAACACUUGGAAACAGGUGCUAAUACCGCAUAACAGUUUAUGCCGCAUGGCAUAAGAGUGAAAGGCGCUUUCGGGUGUCGCUGAUGGAUGGACCCGCGGUGCAUUAGCCAGUUGGUGAGGUAACGGCUCACCAAGGCCACGAUGCAUAGCCGACCUGAGAGGGUGAUCGGCCACACUGGGACUGAGACACGGCCCAGACUCCUACGGGAGGCAGCAGUAGGGAAUCUUCGGCAAUGGACGAAAGUCUGACCGAGCAACGCCGCGUGAGUGAAGAAGGUUUUCGGAUCGUAAAACUCUGUUGUUAGAGAAGAACAAGGACGUUAGUAACUGAACGUCCCCUGACGGUAUCUAACCAGAAAGCCACGGCUAACUACGUGCCAGCAGCCGCGGUAAUACGUAGGUGGCAAGCGUUGUCCGGAUUUAUUGGGCGUAAAGCGAGCGCAGGCGGUUUCUUAAGUCUGAUGUGAAAGCCCCCGGCUCAACCGGGGAGGGUCAUUGGAAACUGGGAGACUUGAGUGCAGAAGAGGAGAGUGGAAUUCCAUGUGUAGCGGUGAAAUGCGUAGAUAUAUGGAGGGACACCAGUGGCGAAGGCGGCUCUCUGGUCUGUAACUGACGCUGAGGCUCGA